UGGACUACUGGGGUUUCUAAUCCUGUUCGAUACCCACGCUUUCGUGCCUCAGCGUCAGUGUGGAGCCGGCAUGCUGCCUUCGCAAUCGGAGUUCUGCGCGAUAUCUAUGCAUUUCACCGCUACACCGCGCAUUCCGCAUACUUCUCUCCAACUCGAGACUGCCAGUUUCAACGGCGGGCCGGGGUUGAGCCCCGGGCUUUGACCGCUGACUUAACAGACCGCCUGCGCACCCUUUAAACCCAAUAAAUCCGGAUAACGCUCGCAUCCUCCGUAUUACCGCGGCUGCUG
Molecule: unclassified non-coding RNA, 288 nt
Filed under: uncultured fungus
Lineage: Eukaryota; Fungi
Description: sequence contains ITS1
Source: RNAcentral